RNAcentral lists this transfer RNA (69 nucleotides) under Ruminococcus sp. RNAcentral's name for it is "tRNA-Gly". It matches the Rfam family "tRNA". From Rfam's summary of the family: Transfer RNA (tRNA) molecules are approximately 80 nucleotides in length. Their secondary structure includes four short double-helical elements and three loops (D, anti-codon, and T loops). RNAcentral also lists the same sequence under 5 other names. The record is from RNAcentral. Lineage: Bacteria; Bacillati; Bacillota; Clostridia; Eubacteriales; Oscillospiraceae.
GCAGAUAUAGUUCAUUGGUAGAACAUCAGCUUCCCAAGCUGAGGGGCGGGGCGAUUUCCGUUAUUUGCU